RNAcentral lists this ribosomal RNA (501 nucleotides) under uncultured bacterium. Its description in RNAcentral is "bacterial SSU rRNA". It matches the Rfam family "Bacterial small subunit ribosomal RNA", at positions 336 to 848 of the family's 1533-position model. The record is from RNAcentral.
CUCUUUCGGGAGGCAGCAGUGGGGAAUAUUGCACAAUGGGCGCAAGCCUGAUGCAGCAACGCCGCGUGCGGGAUGACGGCCUUCGGGUUGUAAACCGCUUUCAUCCAUGACGAAGCGCAAGUGACGGUAGUGGGAGAAGAAGCACCGGCUAAAUACGUGCCAGCAGCCGCGGUGAUACGUAGGGUGCGAGCGUUGUCCGGAAUUAUUGGGCGUAAAGAGCUUGUAGGCGGUUGAUCACGUCGGAAGUGAAAUUCCAGGGCUUAACUCUGGGCUUGCUUUCGAUACGGGUUGACUUGAGGAAUGUAGGGGAGAAUGGAACUUUCGGUGGAGCGGUGGAAUGCGCAGAUAUCGGGAAGAACACCAGUGGCGAAGGCGGUUCUCUGGACAUUUCCUGACGCUGAGAAGCGAAAGCGUGGGGAGCAAACAGGCUUAGAUACCCCGGUAGUCCACGCCGUAAACGGUGGGUACUAGGUGUGGGUCCCUUCCACGGGGUCCGUGCCG